CGACGUCACGCAGUUGAAAUCGAGAGGUGAAGGUGUGAAUAAUGGAUAGGUGGCAUCCAUAUUGCAUUUUAAUAAAAAUCGAUCACCACCGGAGCUAGCAGCGCGACCGCCGAGCAACUAUCGUGAAAGUGAAGCAGUGCAGUGUUUCGACGUGUCAUCACCGUUGAUCGACAGCGAUUCGAGGCCGAGUUGCAGCGGCUCGCGAACGGCCAUUGCCACCGUGCGACUACGUGACGCGCACGCUCCGAGGACGCGAGCGAACUCUCGCAGACAUCCAACCGCCAGUGACCGCAGGCAAGCAAGAAAACAGUCAAUCAGUCAGUCAUUAAGUCAGUGUGAGCGUAGUCAUAGAAGAGAACUCCACGCCGCCAUGAACAACACCACGGGCCAAGUCCGCGGGCGGCGACGCAGCGCACGAGCUCCUCUCCCUGCGCUAGGCGUACGAAGAGACCGCGCCGUCCGCUGCGACCGCGAGGAGCGCUACGCCGCCAGCAAGUGGGGCGCAGCGCCCGCCGCGGCCGCGUUACCGCCGCCGCCCACUCAUUGGCGGCGGGAGGGCCGAUGUCGGCCGGAGCCCGAUCGUGCGCUACCGCUCAAGCUGCUUCUCAACGUGACGGCGUAGGCCACUCUAAGGACCCUAACUGCUAGUGUUAGUGCCGCGGGCGCGGCGCCGCCGGGCCUCAGCCUGGGGCGCCGCGUCCGCCUCUCUCGUGCUAAGUUUUUUAUUUUGUGAACGCGAGGCGCGUUGAAGAGUGCGACCGCGGCGCCGCUCUCGGCCGCUCGGCCGCGGGCUCCGUCGCGGCGCCCCUAAAUUCCGGCGUUAGGUAUUAUUUUGUGAAAAUUUUAGUAGAUAAGUGGAGCGCGGCGCCCGUCGUCCGGCGCCGGUCCGCACAUCUCUCCCGCUUCUAAAAUACGAGAAAAACACAAAAAAAAUCCGCGGGACAGUGUGGUGCCGGCGGCGGACACGAGCGCCGUGGAGCCCGGCGCGCCGCCCCUCGCCUGCGCCUCGGUUGGACGCGCGCUCUCGGCGGCACCCUGUUUUUUUUUAUUGUUUGCCCAUCCGCGGCGCCCGCGUCGACGCCGCGGCGCGCCCGGCGUGCGGCUCGGGCGUCGCGGCGGGCGGCCGCCCUGCGUUGUUAUUGUUGGAGAGCGUCGCAGUCCGAGCGCAGGCCCGCGGCGUGAGGGCCGCCGUGCCGGGCCCGGGGCCGGAGGCUCCGCUAGUCGUAUCGUUUAUUUAUCUGAGACCAAUGUAUUUUUAUUUGUAAGCGGCGCUCCGCCCCUCGCCGCGCCUGCCGUCCGUCGGCGCAGCUUUAACGACAGCGGCGGUGGCGGCGGGCGCCGUUCCUAAUUCUAGUAGUAGAUGUUAAAAUUGAACGAUACGGUGUCUUGCGACCGACUGUUGACAAUUGGGAGAAUUAUAUAUGUUUGUACGAUAGUGUAUUGAUCUCAGCUGCGGGUGUCUGCGGCCCGUUCCUCUAGGAGCUUCUGUGAUGUACAAAAAAAACGAGUAUAUUUGGAAUUUUACAAGUUUUUUAUAAUUAGUUUGUAAAGUACUUUUAAGUGAAGGUGGUGCGCGGCGGCGGCGCCGUCCGCCCGCCGGAGACAGCCCGCAGCAUAUUACCACCCCCGUUCCUCUUUCCCCACUCCCGUAUCCCCCCAGCUCCCCUCCUUGUUCCCGUCUUAUCCCAGGGCUCUUCGGAGCCCGCCAAAUGGUUCAUAAGUUUCUAAUCGACGUCAAUGUAUAACGCACACCUGUGUGCUGGGUAAAGCUAUCAUAGUAUAGCACUGCAAGAGCAGAAGAUGCAGCAAGUUCACCUUCAAGAUCUGAAGAGAAGAUAUCAAGCCCAUGUCAAGUGAAGUUGAACCAGCAAGCUAAUACUAAAACAUUGGAAACGCGAAGUUGCAAGACUGCAAGAGACCAAGAGCAAGAGAUGAAAGCAAGACUGGAAAGUUUUGAUCGGUCGCCAGUCAGGCGCCAUGCCUGCAUCAAAAUACCAUUACCGCCAGCCAGAACCUUCCUAGCAGUAGCGACAGAUGAACAUUUCCAAAAGGAAACCCACUACAACAUAGUUACUCAUAUGCAUAAAUAUGGGUUCCAAAUCGGUCUGAUGAUAAUUAGAUUCUAAAUAAAGCGAAGUCGGCAAGAACCGUAUUAUAAGGAU
This is a long non-coding RNA of Manduca sexta (tobacco hornworm), 2162 nucleotides long. RefSeq lists it as uncharacterized. The transcript has 2 exons. Lineage: Eukaryota; Metazoa; Arthropoda; Insecta; Lepidoptera; Sphingidae. The record is from RefSeq and is a predicted model, not a curated record.